GACGAACGCUGGCGGCGUGCCUAACACAUGCAAGUCGAACGGAGUUUCCAUUUAUGGAUUCUUAGUGGCGAACGGGUGAGUAACGCGUAGACAACCUACCUUCUAGAUGGGGACAACACUGCGAAAGUGGUGCUAAUACCGAAUGUUGUAUCGAAGUUGCAUAGCUUUGCUACUAAAGAUGGCCUCUAUUUAUAAGCUAUCGCUAGAAGAUGGGUCUGCGUCUGAUUAGCUAGUUGGUGAGGUAAUGGCUCACCAAGGCGACGAUCAGUAGCCGGUCUGAGAGGAUGAACGGCCACAUUGGGACUGAGACACGGCCCAAACUCCUACGGGAGGCAGCAGUGGGGAAUCUUCCGCAAUGGACGAAAGUCUGACGGAGCAACGCCGCGUGAGUGAAGAAGGUUUUCGGAUCGUAAAACUCUGUUUUCAGGGACGAAUGUGCGCAGUGUAAAUAAUGCUGUGUAAUGACGGUACCUGAGUAGAAAGCCACGGCUAACUACGUGCCAGCCGCCGCAGUAAAAC
This 519-nucleotide ribosomal RNA is filed under the name uncultured bacterium. Its description in RNAcentral is "bacterial SSU rRNA". It matches the Rfam family "Bacterial small subunit ribosomal RNA", at positions 28 to 526 of the family's 1533-position model. The record is from RNAcentral.